CUUCCGUCCCAGAGCAUAUCCAAUCUCAAAAAUGUUUUGAACAAAUAUCAAAAUAUUAUUAUUAAAUAGACA
RNAcentral lists this transfer RNA (72 nucleotides) under Lithospermum helleri. RNAcentral's name for it is "tRNA-Gln". Lineage: Eukaryota; Viridiplantae; Streptophyta; Magnoliopsida; Boraginales; Boraginaceae. The record is from RNAcentral.